CGGGGUGAGUAACGCGUGGAUAACCUGCCUCACACUGGGGGAUAACAGUUAGAAAUGGCUGCUAAUACCGCAUAAGCGCACAGUACCGCAUGGUACGGUGUGAAAAACCCAGGUGGUGUGAGAUGGAUCCGCGUCUGAUUAGCCAGUUGGCAGGGUAACGGCCCACCAAAGCGACGAUCAGUAGCCGACCUGAGAGGGUGACCGGCCACAUUGGGACUGAGACACGGCCCAA
Molecule: ribosomal RNA, 232 nt
Filed under: uncultured bacterium
Lineage: Bacteria
Description: partial 16S ribosomal RNA
Rfam family: Bacterial small subunit ribosomal RNA
Source: RNAcentral